RNAcentral lists this ribosomal RNA (455 nucleotides) under Priestia megaterium. Its description in RNAcentral is "bacterial SSU rRNA". It matches the Rfam family "Bacterial small subunit ribosomal RNA", at positions 25 to 467 of the family's 1533-position model. Lineage: Bacteria; Bacillati; Bacillota; Bacilli; Caryophanales; Bacillaceae. The record is from RNAcentral.
CAGGAUGAACGCUGGCGGCGUGCCUAAUACAUGCAAGUCGAGCGAACUGAUUAGAAGCUUGCUUCUAUGACGUUAGCGGCGGACGGGUGAGUAACACGUGGGCAACCUGCCUGUAAGACUGGGAUAACUUCGGGAAACCGAAGCUAAUACCGGAUAGGAUCUUCUCCUUCAUGGGAGAUGAUUGAAAGAUGGUUUCGGCUAUCACUUACAGAUGGGCCCGCGGUGCAUUAGCUAGUUGGUGAGGUAACGGCUCACCAAGGCCACGAUGCAUAGCCGACCUGAGAGGGUGAUCGGCCACACUGGGACUGAGACACGGCCCAGACUCCUACGGGAGGCAGCAGUAGGGAAUCUUCCGCAAUGGACGAAAGUCUGACGGAGCAACGCCGCGUGAGUGAUGAAGGCUUUCGGGUCGUAAAACUCUGUUGUUAGGGAAGAACAAGUACAAGAGUAACUGC